RNAcentral lists this long non-coding RNA (311 nucleotides) under Trifolium pratense (red clover). Its description in RNAcentral is "long non-coding RNA (TPRA_LNC008038)". The record is from RNAcentral. Lineage: Eukaryota; Viridiplantae; Streptophyta; Magnoliopsida; Fabales; Fabaceae.
CAAUAUCAUGACUUAGAAGAUGAAGAUCUUUAUCGCCAUGCUAGAAGGAAAACAAAUAUAGGUUGUCAGUCCUAUAUUACUACUCCUCUGUAACACUAUAUAGCCACUGCAUCCUAACCUCACCUUAAUGGACAUGAGAAGUUACACCUCCCACUUAUAGAAAGAACAUGGGCUACCGGAGUUUUUACCUAUAAAUCAUUUUCAGAAAGAACAGCGUGCUCUAAUUUAUCCUUAUUAUUUUUAAUCACGUUGUAAGUUUUAUAUCUUUCGUGAUUUCACUAAAAUAAAUAUAAAAAAAAUAUAGAAAAAUG